GAUGAACGCUGGCGGCGUGCCUAAUACAUGCAAGUCGGGCGAACGGACGAGAAGCUUGCUUCUCUGAUGUUAGCGGCGGACGGGUGAGUAACACGUGGAUAACCUACCUAUAAGACUGGGAUAACUUCGGGAAACCGGAGCUAAUGCCGGAUAAUAUUUUGAACCGCAUGGUUCAAAAGUGAAAGACGGUCUUGCUGUCACUUAUAGAUGGAUCCGCGCUGCAUUAGCUAGUUGGUAAGGUAACGGCUUACCAAGGCAACGAUGCAUAGCCGACCUGAGAGGGUGAUCGGCCACACUGGAACUGAGACACGGUCCAGACUCCUACGGGAGGCAGCAGUAGGGAAUCUUCCGCAAUGGGCGAAAGCCUGACGGAGCAACGCCGCGUGAGUGAUGAAGGUCUUCGGAUCGUAAAACUCUGUUAUUAGGGAAGAACAUAUGUGUAAGUAACUGUGCACAUCUUGACGGUACCUAAUCAGAAAGCCACGGCUAACUACGUG
Molecule: ribosomal RNA, 497 nt
Filed under: uncultured bacterium
Lineage: Bacteria
Description: partial 16S ribosomal RNA
Rfam family: Bacterial small subunit ribosomal RNA
Source: RNAcentral